CCUUUAAUCAAAUGGUUGAGAUGGAAGUCACUCGUUUCUAUUCUCAUUCCAUAAUCCAUCACUCUCGAACCAAACAUACCCUAAUAUCUUGAAUUUCUAAUAGAUUUGAGAGCACUAAAGCGGGGACUCGAUGCUCAAAUGUAUUCAUUAAAAAAAUCUUGAUUCCUUUCAAAAAAAUUUUUGAGUGCAUUUAGUCUAAGAUCAGAAUCGAAAUAAAUUGAAACAAAAAUCGAAAUAGCUACAUCCUCCAUUCCCAUUCC
RNAcentral lists this long non-coding RNA (260 nucleotides) under Elaeis guineensis (African oil palm). RNAcentral describes it as "long non-coding RNA (EGUI_LNC001560)". Lineage: Eukaryota; Viridiplantae; Streptophyta; Magnoliopsida; Arecales; Arecaceae. The record is from RNAcentral.